UUUAUAUUUUUUGCAGGGCUGAGCAUGGAACCCAGGACCUCACGCACACGCCAUAUGUGCUUUGAACUACACCCCAGCCCCAAGAUGCUGGAUGUCUGCUCAGAAAGGCAUUUAUUUAUGUUCAAACAGCAAAACUAAAGCAGGAGUCUGACUAAAGGCGCUGCCUGUAGAUGUGCCGAACAUUGUAAAUAAAUAAUGAAGGGCACCACAGUUAAUCUCCACGUCCCAGUCACUGGAGAAAUGUUCACCGAAACACAGCAAAAUGCUCGCACAGAUGGUCUCGACCUGUGGUGGGCUUCUGCCCGGAUGAUACCACCAUGACCUCAUGCCGCAGGUUGAAAUGUUUACUACACUGGGGAGGUCUCCGCUCUGCCACUCGGCAAACUGUUGAGUCCUGCCUGUGUCCUCUCAUGAUGGUAGGGCUGUCUGGGAGCUGCUGGUGACUGAAUUGUCCAGCAUUGAUAGACAGGACGAGGCCAUAUAGCAUCAGACUGGGAGAAAGAUCCACAUUCAAAGCUGAAAGUAUGGAUUCUCCUGAAGGCAAAUCAUCUUCACACCACUGCCAAGUUGAAAUGCUGCGCAUUAAACUAUCCAAAAUCCAGAACACUUGGGGCCCACCACCACAGGCUGUGAACCCCGAUUUCCUGCCGGAAUGAGCUACUUCUUUAAGCUUCUGUGUUUUCAUCUGCAAAAUGAGAGUAGUUUUUUUCCCACCAGGUUGCUGACAGAGCACUUGGCAUGGUGCACUCGGUAAAUGCUGGAUCGGGGGACCUUCUUCCUGUUCCCUGCUCCGUAAUCCCAGACUCAGAGCAGGGGAACGAACCUACCCAGACCUAUGUGCCAGGUGCGGAUCCUGGCUCUGGGGGCUUGGGUCUCAGUCAAGUUAGUCUCAGGGGUUUAGAAAGGGCUCCAGACUCUCUUCUCCAAGAUAGAAUUUCACCUGCAGCGAAGAGCCUGCGGUCCACUGUGUCCGGGUGCCCAGCACUGUCCCUCCUCCACGAGGAGCCCUUUCAGUGGCUUUCCAGAAGCCCCAAGAGCAGAGCCUGAGGUGCAGGAGGGUGCCCUGAGCUCCAGCAGCUGCGCCCAGGCCCAGGGAUCUGGGAGCCACCCACGGAAGUCCUGCAGGUUGCCAAGGCUGCGCUGGAAACCCUCCCACGCGGAAGCUGCCUGCCCAGUGCCUCUUUUGGAGCUGAGAGGCUGGAGCCAAAUGGCACAGAAGGGAUCCAGGCUGCGGGCUGCCAGACCCACCUGAGCGUGCCCAGCUUCGGCCACGCUGCCAGUCCACAGCCUGCAGGGGCCUCCGUCUACCUCGGUCUCCCUCCUCUUCCUCUCUACCCCUUCCUUUCUUUUCUCCCUCUAGCUUUCCUCCUUCUGUUCUUCUUCCCUCUUCCACUCUUUUCUUCUCUGCUACCGUCCUUCUCUGCUUUCCUGGCCUCCCCCAAGGUAGCUGAACUCUAUAUGGAGACUUUCUGUAUGGCGAUAUCUGCGAGAAUCCACUCAGGCUUCUCUCGCUUGCUCUUACAGCCCCGCCCCCAUGAGCAUGUAGCCCCGCCCAUGACCAAGCCACGCCCAUGCCACGCAUCCUCAUUUGUGCGCAUAAGCCCCGCCCCAUGCGCGUGCAGCCCCGCCCAAGGCCACGAAGCCACGCCCAUCCAGCCCUGCUCACAGCCACGCCCCCACGCUCGCACCGGCCCGGAGUCUGCAGAGGCAUCCUGGUGGCUGCGCAGCGGCCCAGUCGCCUGGAAAGGGCUGACAGCCUCCGCAGCCCUGGUCGGGCAGAGCAAGUCCCCGGCCAGCUGGCGCGGAGAUGGGCCCCAGCCAGGCAUGGCAGACACUGGCUGCUGGCUCCAGGUCGCUGCCUCUCCCUCUGCGUGGACACCGAGGGCUUUGGAUUUGCCCAGGAUUCAUGCAUCCACCUGGCCCAGCCUCCAGGAAAGACCAUGUCAGGGCUCUGGUUCCCCUUGGCCUUGGGCCCAAGGCUUCCCUUAGAUCUGAGGAAUGGCUUUCUGGUUCCACCGGGGACUGAGUCUGUCUGCAGGAAACACUGGACAGGUCACAAACAGGAUCCUCUGAUGCCACUGUCUUCCGUCCUCACACAGCUCCCAUGAGGAGCUGUAGACUCCAUGUCCCACAUAAAAGUGACCUGAGGACGAUAGAGCCAGGGCUGAACUUCAGGAAGGUGGUGAAGGACAGCACAAGGCCGCCUGUGACCCUGCAGCUGGGAGGGACACUGGAGCCAUGUUGGAGCUAGAGAAAGCCUUUGUGUGGCUGCAGUGGGCUCUGCGUGGCCUGGCACUGCGGGGUGGAUCGCGGAAGGAUAACAGCAGCACCAACAGCAACAGCGGCACCUCGCCCGAUCUCAUGCUCUCUCCAAGCAUCUCGAAGGGUGGUCCCCUGUUUUUUCACACUCUCAGAUGAGGAAACUGAGGCACAGAAGGGCUAGUGGGGACAUGUGAAUUGCAAUUUGGUUUUGACCAAGAUUUUAAUCUUUGUGCCGAACUAAAAAUGAUGACCUUUCACCCAGAAGGAAACCAACAGGGUCACAGGACAGGUCUCUGGCACAGCAUGGCAAGGUUGUCAGGGGCAGUAACUGACCCACUCCUGAGCUAGUUCCUCCUCUAGGUCUGGGGGUGGGUGGGGGCUUUGGUCCAGCAACCAGAGCCGGCCCAGAGCCUGGCACUCAGGAGCUGGUGAGUGCAUUUGGAGCCAACCCUCCUUGUGGUGAUUUUGGGAGUGUCUAGGAGGUGUGGUGGGAGCAUAGUGAACGGUGGUCAUGAACAUGUCACAGUGUGUCCUCAUCCAGCUCAUUUCUUAGCUCUGGUGCUGCGUGCCUGCUGGCUCUUCCUCCAAGUCAAAAGGAGCACCCCUUAACACAUGGGACACGAGAGGAUUUCCGGAACUGCUGCAGGAGGUGGCCGGAAGGAUGGGAUAAGAAUGUUCACAGUUAGCGGGAGCAUUUUGAGGGGGGUUAAUUACAAUGUGCAAUGUUACGACUACUGUAACAAUUUAAAAAAAUUUAAAAAUGUUCACCAUAGAUGUUGGCCACGUGGUGCAGGAGCAUGAUGCUGGCCCCGGGCUGGAUGGACAGGGGUCCAUGGGGCUCCCUGGGCCCCAGAGCCCCCUGCCCCAGGCUGUACUUGAAGGCUCCAUGAUGGCAAAGGUUCUGCGGAGCUUGACUUUGUAUUGCCAGCAGUGAACUUUGCUCAAAAGUGCUACGUCGGCAGAAAGAGGAUCGUGAACAGGCUUUCAUGCGCUAUUUCAGGAUUGCUGGCCCUGAACAUCUAUCACUUACUGAUGCGUAUAAUUUGCCUGAUGACUCAGUUUCAUAUAUUUGAGUUUCCAAAGAUAAACAGUUUUUGCAUAUUUCCCACAAAUAGUGUUAUAUUUAAUAAUCUUGGGGUAGGAGGGCUGGAGGCAGGGGAGAGGAAAGUAGAGGGGUGCAGGGGGCUCCAUCCAGGAAGCCAGGCACAGUGCACUGGGAUCUGGGCGCAAGCUUAGGAGGGGGCUUCAGCCUGUAGGACCUUGGGUGGCCCAGGGUGGGCUGAUGUGGGGCGCGGUGAAGAGCGUCACCACACAGGCUGAACCUAGUCUGGGGCAGCCUCAGUUCAGCCCUGGCCACAGGGAGGUCAUGCUAAGAGCAGGGACACAUUUCCACAGGCUUCGCCUUGAGGACACAGCCCGUGUCAGCACCCACGGAGUCAGUGUGGAAGCUCAAGGAGAUGAUCGUGUCAAUAGCACAGGCAGAUGCGGGCUCUGGGUUUAGGUGUGGUUUGGACAGAGUCCAGUCUUUGUGAUUCUCACUGGUAGCAUUGACCUCACCGGUUUCUCUGAGGCUGGGAGGAUACAGUCCCCGAGACAACCCCUGGCACUCGGGAUGUGCUUGGUGAAUGCGUCUCCCCUCUGAAAUAGAUGUUCUUGGGAUGAUUAAACACAUGUGUUACAGAUGUCUAGUCUGAGUGUCUACCACUGUCAGGGAAGCCAGGUGUCAUGCCUGGAGUCACUGAGGACCCAUCAUGGUACCCAAUGGGACCCCUGCAUGUGUGACAAGUGAUGGAAACCAGUUCAAACGGCCCGAUCAGAUUCUUUGCAACUAACAGGACCGAGGUACCUGGCUUCUGCCACAAAGAGACAAUGUGGGUACCUGGCCUUGUGCUGG
Cavia porcellus (domestic guinea pig) is the source of this 4156-nucleotide long non-coding RNA. RefSeq lists it as uncharacterized. The record is from RefSeq and is a predicted model, not a curated record. The transcript is spliced from 3 exons. NCBI's taxonomy places the organism in Eukaryota, Metazoa, Chordata, Mammalia, Rodentia, Caviidae.